GAUGAAGAACGUAGCGAAAUGCGAUAAGUAAUGUGAAUUGCAGAAUUCAGUGAAUCAUCGAAUCUUUGAACGCACAUUGCGCCCGCCAGUAUUCUGGCGGGCAUGCCUGUUCGAGCGUCAUUACAACCCUCAGGCCCCCGGGCCUGGCGUUGGGGAUCGGCGGAAGCCCCCUGCGGGCACAACGCCGUCCCCCAAAUACAGUGGCGGUCCCGCCGCAGCUUCCAUUGCGUAGUAGCUAACACCUCGCAACUGGAGAGCGGCGCGGCCACGCCGUAAAACACCCUACUUCUCAAGGUUGACCUCGGAUCAGGUAGGAAUACCCGCUGAACUUAAGCAUAUCAAUAAGCGGAGGA
This 353-nucleotide unclassified non-coding RNA is filed under the name soil metagenome. Its description in RNAcentral is "partial contains 5.8S ribosomal RNA, internal transcribed spacer 2, and large subunit ribosomal RNA". The stretch from base 1 to 120 matches the Rfam family "5.8S ribosomal RNA", at positions 35 to 154 of the family's 154-position model. The record is from RNAcentral.